UAAAGUAAAUAGUCUGGAUUGAUGAAAGUUGCAUUCGAGAAUUCAUCAACAGGCAUUUACUUCAAC
This 66-nucleotide microRNA precursor is filed under the name Drosophila melanogaster (fruit fly). RNAcentral describes it as "Dme-Mir-987_pre stem-loop". The record is from RNAcentral. Lineage: Eukaryota; Metazoa; Arthropoda; Insecta; Diptera; Drosophilidae. RNAcentral also lists the same sequence under 2 other names.